CGUAGGGUCCAAGCGUUAAUCGGAAUUACUGGGCGUAAAGCGUGCGCAGGCGGUUGUGCAAGACCGAUGUGAAAUCCCCGGGCUUAACCUGGGAAUUGCAUUGGUGACUGCACGGCUAGAGUGUGUCAGAGGGGGGUAGAAUUCCACGUGUAGCAGUGAAAUGCGUAGAGAUGUGGAGGAAUACCGAUGGCGAAGGCAGCCCCCUGGGAUAACACUGACGCUCAUGCACGAAAGCGUGGGGAGCAAACAGGAUUAGAUACCCUGGUAGUCCACGCCCUAAACGAUGUCAACUAGUUGUUGGGGAUUCAUUUCCUUAGUAACGUAGCUAACGCGUGAAGUUGACCGCCUGGGGAGUACGGUCGCAAGAUUAAAACU
RNAcentral lists this ribosomal RNA (375 nucleotides) under uncultured bacterium. Its description in RNAcentral is "bacterial SSU rRNA". It matches the Rfam family "Bacterial small subunit ribosomal RNA", at positions 526 to 901 of the family's 1533-position model. The record is from RNAcentral.